UACGGGGGGGGCAAGCGUUGUUCGGAAUUACUGGGCGUAAAGGGCUCGUAGGUGGCCAACUAAGUCAGACGUGAAAUCCCUCGGCUUAACCGGGGAACUGCGUCUGAUACUGGAUGGCUUGAGUUCGGGAGAGGGAUGCGGAAUUCCAGGUGUAGCGGUGAAAUGCGUAGAUAUCAGGAGGAACACCAAUAGCGAAGGCAGCUCGCUGGGACGGUAUUGACGCUAAGGCGCGAAAGCGUGGGGAGCAAACAGG
RNAcentral lists this ribosomal RNA (253 nucleotides) under uncultured bacterium. RNAcentral describes it as "partial 16S ribosomal RNA". It matches the Rfam family "Bacterial small subunit ribosomal RNA", at positions 524 to 776 of the family's 1533-position model. The record is from RNAcentral.